AUGAUUUCAACGCCCAGGUUAGGCGCAAAACAGAUAAAAUAAAUUGUUUAUCACAUGUUUAUGGUUACCUGUAAGAAGGAAGAAAGACUGGUGUAGUUUAGUUUAAACAUAAGAUGUCUCGCAGUUUGCAAAACUACAGCAAGUUUAGCGCUAAUUUAGUUGAAGUUAAAAGCAAAUUUGAGGCAGAUUUCAGGAGAUUUUCUUUGAACUCAAGACAGCUGACCAAGUAUGAGGAUUUCUGCAGAUUAAUAGAAGAGUUUCACAAGCUGACUAAUUUACCAUUCACCAUCUGCUACACAGAUCCUGUGCAUGGUGAUCUUUUACCUAUCAACAAUGAUGAUAAUUUUGUUCGAGCUGUCACCAGUGCAAGGCCUCUUCUGCGAGUUAUCAUUCAGCGAAAAGGAGAUACCUUGGAACGUUUGAAUGGUUAUGGUAUGUCUAACAAGAAGAAGAACUUCCUUAGUCAGUAUUUACUUCCCUCUACACCUAGGUCUCGCUCCCAAAUAUCCAUCAGUCUUCCAGAGGACUUUCGCCAAGUUUCUUCUAUUAUUGAUGUUGAUGUAGUGCCUGAAACCUGUCGUAGAGUUCGGCUGGUUAAACAUGGUUCUGACAGACCUUUAGGAUUCUACAUUCGUGAUGGAACUAGUGUGCAUGUUACUUCUUAUGGCCUAGAAAAAGUCCCAGGGAUUUUCAUCUCCCGUUUGGUUCCUGGUGGUCUGGCAGAAAGUACAGGGCUUUUAGCUGUGAAUGAUGAAGUGUUGGAAGUGAAUGGAAUUGAAGUGGCAGGAAAAACUUUAGAUCAAGUUACAGAUAUGAUGGUAGCUAACUCUUCCAAUCUAAUAAUUACCAUCAGACCCACCAGUCAAACUGGUAAUCCCAUCUCUUCACGUAGUGCUUUUGAUCGAUUAUCUCAUCAAUCACAGGGCUCUCAACCCUCCAACAACUACCAAAUAAGUGAUGAUGAGCAAGGUGAAGAAGAUGAGAUUAGAGAUCAUACAGGUUGCAAGUUCCCUGAAGAAAUGAUUAAUAAUAAAAACAUGAGUGAUGACACCAUCAUAACUUUGUAGAGUUAAAAAGACUAAAAAAACAGAAUUACAAGAAGUAUGACCAAAACAGUGUACAGUGUUCCAUGCAUUCAGACUUUUUACUUGUGUGAUAAGCCAUACUGUUUGUAUACAAUUUAUCGUUUGGCUUUCCCAAUCAAGAAUGCAUGGUCCAUCCAUAUUCUUUUAGUUAUGACCAGUGAAAGUGAGCAUAUUGCAUGGAUUAAAUGAAAAAACAACUCUUGAAGAAAUGCAACUUUUUAUGGGGGAAUGUAAUUUUCCUGACAGUUUCCUUUGAGUGAAUGUUAUUUUAUUUCAUUAUUUCUAUCCCUGGUAAGCACAAGAGUGCAUUUUUUUUUAUGGUGACAUAUAAAAAAUAGCAGCUUUUUUGAUACUUUUAAUUCUCUUUCUUAUCUACUUAUCCAGUUUUAUUAGAUUUAAGAAUGUGUACAAAAACCACAAUAGCAAAGAUCUAGUUGUAAAAAUGUUUUUACACUUCCAUGUGGUAAACUGAAACAGUUGUUAAUUUAUAUAUGUUCUACCCAUAACCUUACAUGCAUGUAACACUGAACAUACAGUAAGUUAUGUUUACUUUGCAACUCAUAAUUUCUAUAGUUAUAUAUCUUCAGUGAGAUAAUUUACAAUCUACUUGGUAGUGUACAAGAUAUUUUAAUCAGGUUUUAAUUCAGUUGUGUUGUUAUGUAGCUUUAUCUGGCUUAUUUGAAGAUUUAUUUACAUUUGUAAUAGAAUAUUUACAUGAAAUUGAAAAAAAAACUAACUAGAAAUUAUGAGUUUUUCAGAAUGCUUUGAUUUAUAAAUUUAUUACAUUGUUUUCAUUUGUCUAAAGUAAAAGUCCAAUGUUACAAGUAUGAGCAAUAAAACUCAGUCAUAGCAAUAUUAAUGUUGUAUGUAUGUCAAGUAAUUUUGGUAUGGUAGUUGUAAAUUUGUUUUAUCAUUCAGUAUUUUCAACAUAAAAGUACAUUUUUUAAGUGUUUAAUUGCUUGUAUUUUUGGAUAGUUGUAUAAGAAUCUGAUGUAUAGUAUGUUGUUUGGCAAAUAUUGGUUAUUUUAGUGGUAGGUAGUUUUGGUGACUGAUCACUGAACAUCUUUAACAUUAACUAAUUAAUGUAUACUUUUAUAGCAAAUGCACUUUAGUAAUGUUUACUAUCUUAGUUGAGUUGGUACAGUGUUGUGAAUAUGAAUAUGUAUUUUUGAACAGAAUAUUUAUCAUUGCAGUUGAGGUAAUCGAAUAUCUGGAAUUUAGUGAACCAGUAAAUUAUGGCAUAGUUUUAAAGUGAUUUCCAGUCAUAUAGUUUACAAAACACAUAUUCAUUGAAAUUUAUAUGAACUUUUGUCAUGAAUGUUUGCAUUGCUUUUAUUUUGCUUCCUAAUAGUGUGUGUGUUAUGAAUAUGAGAACUGCUUUGUUUCCUAAUGCAUUGUGUUACCAGUGAAUGACCUGUUUUAUAAUUUCAACGUUAGGUAAGAUGGUAUAUUGUUUUACCCCUGAAACUGUUUUCAAAAGGUAGUCACUUGUGAAAUUAAUAAUCACUGGCCAUCUGUGUAUGUGUGUCAUCCACUUGGUCUUUCACUUUGACCUAUCAUUGGUUUUCUGCCCUGCACACUAUAAUUUAUCUUGAUUUGAGACUUUCUUCAUCUACACAAUUACUAGUUCAGUAUAGUAUUUCUGAUACAGAAAUCAUAAGACAGUUUUCGUAAAUAUAAAUGUUUUCAUGCGUGAAGGUAAUAAAAUAUUUGAGUGUAUACAAAAUAUUUUCAUUAAUACUUUAGUAAACAGUGAGAGUAUUUACAUACUAAAAAUUCAAACAUUCUAUUGUAUAGAUUUCAAUAUUACUAUUGCUUACAUAUUCUACAGCUAUGAGUACAUGUUUGUGUUAAGGUAUAAUAGCUAAAAGUAAUGUUAAUUUAUUGGAAUAUUCACUGUUUUUAUACAGAAUGCAGCAAUAAAACAAUAGUUACAUGAGAGUACUAAUAGUUAACGUUUCUAUCAACCUAUUUUUUUAAUAUUGUUAUUUUUUUUGUGUGAAAUGAGUUGGUAGUGUUGUGUGAAUCAUCAUAUUAGUUGUUAUCUGUUUACCAAAGUUUCAUUUUUAUACCAAUUUUUAAUAAAUACAUGUUU
Molecule: unclassified non-coding RNA, 3180 nt
Filed under: Limulus polyphemus (Atlantic horseshoe crab)
Lineage: Eukaryota; Metazoa; Arthropoda; Merostomata; Xiphosura; Limulidae
Description: partitioning defective 6 homolog beta-like, transcript variant X1
Source: RNAcentral